CUGCCGCUCUUUCGCGCUCGAUUGCUCGAUCCCAUGGCAGCGGCGGCGAUCGAUAUCUUCAUCCCCAUCCUCCGCUUCCUCCUCUGCUUCAUGGUCACGAUUCCCGCUAUCCUCUCGUGGCGGGUGGUCCCCGUGGCGGUCCCGCGUCACCUCUACCCUGCCUUCUCGGAGGCGGACCUCUCCUUCGGCGCCUCCCUCAACCUCCACUUUAUCAUCCCCGUGGGCACGGCCUACGCCGCCGUGCUCCUCCUCCACCGCUACGCCGGAGUCAUCACCUUCUUCACUGGCUUCGAUUAUCUCAUCGGAUGAUUCGUGCUCCUUCCAUUAAUAGCCCAUUGCCAUCACCUCUUCGUUCAAGCUGCAAUCGGUACCACAUUUCCCACUUUCUUGGUUCGAUGAGCUGAUAUACUAGGAAUGGGGUUUCUGGCAAAGGCUGCUGUUUUAUGGAUACAUGUCUGGAUUUACUGCCCGUAUGAAGUACUAAUUUAUCUGGUCAAUCUCAGAAGCUUCUAUUAUCAUAUCUGGUUUGGGUUUUAGUGACUGGUCAGAUUCCUCUCCUCUAAACCCACUAUGGGACCGUGCAAAAAAUGUUGAUAUUGUUUGUAGAGUUUGCUUCUAGUGCAGUUCAACUGCCUCUUGUAUGGAACACACAAGGCGGCACUUGGCUACGACACUUUUCACAAGUUUGUACUGAUAAAUCUGCCGGGAAAGUAAGAUGGUUUGUGAGGCAGACCAUGUAAUCCGAGAGGCCAUGUCGUUCCAGAUGUAGAUGAAAAACUCGUUGAGAAAGGGAAGAAACCUGGAUUCUUUCAGUUGCCGGCUACGCAGACCGACAGCGCUGUUUGGCAUGUAAGUCAUAAAUGAGCCUUUGUUGGUACUAGUAUGAAUGUUGUAAUGAGGUGUUUCAGCUGGCAAUUAUACCAGGUUUUGGAAUGCAAGUUUUAUCCUUGAUUUCUAGGUAAGGUUGCAAGCAAGUAUUAUCCUAAUAAGGAUUUUUAGUGUUUCUCCAUGGGCCGACUUCUAAUAAUUUUAAGAUAUUUGUCUAUGAUAUCUUGAACUUUACUUGUAUAUUGCAACAUAACCUAUAAAUCCAUCAAAGCCCAGGUAGGCAGUUAUUGUGGUAUCUUUCUGCAUAUAGAUCCAUGAGUUUUUGUUUUUAGUUCAAUAAAGAGCUACUUUUUUAUGUCAGUAUAAAAAGUACAUAGGACUGCAGAUGAUCUAAUUAAGCUUUUCGUUUUCUUUUUCUGGGAGAAACUUAAAAAUUAACUUUAUCAAUCUAAUCUGGAGGACUACUGUGGCAGAAAAGGUUUAUGGCUUAUGCACAUAAUUCCUCUCAGUACUAAUAAUUUCUCUUUAUGCCUGCACCCUGGCUGUAUUAUAUUCUUUGCUCAA
This is a long non-coding RNA of Musa acuminata AAA Group (dessert banana), 1392 nucleotides long. RefSeq lists it as uncharacterized. The record is from RefSeq and is a predicted model, not a curated record. The transcript has 3 exons. Lineage: Eukaryota; Viridiplantae; Streptophyta; Magnoliopsida; Zingiberales; Musaceae.